ACACGACUACAUUAGAAUACCCCGGUAGUCCCAGCCGUAAACUAUGCGCGUUAGGUGUAUCGGUGACCACGAGUUACCGAGGUGCCGAAGGGAAACCGUGAAACGUGCCGCCUGGGAAGUACGGUCGCAAGGCUGAAACUUAAAGGAAUUGGCGGGGAGCACCACAACGGGUGGAGCCUGCGGUUUAAUUGGACUCAACGCCGGGAAGCUCACCGGAUAAGACAGCGGAAUGAUUGCCGGGCUGAAGACUCUGCAUGACUAGCUG
RNAcentral lists this ribosomal RNA (265 nucleotides) under uncultured archaeon. RNAcentral's name for it is "partial 16S ribosomal RNA". It matches the Rfam family "Archaeal small subunit ribosomal RNA", at positions 717 to 982 of the family's 1478-position model. The record is from RNAcentral.